Molecule: long non-coding RNA, 1747 nt
Organism: Acanthaster planci (crown-of-thorns starfish)
Lineage: Eukaryota; Metazoa; Echinodermata; Asteroidea; Valvatida; Acanthasteridae
Source: RefSeq, a predicted model, not a curated record
GGGUUCCUGUUCUUUUUAGAGCACGCGCAUAAAAUUUGAAGUGAAAACGAAGAGCGUGCUCCAUGUUGAUUGAUGAUAAUAAAGCAAGAUCUCAUUCAGCAUAUGGUCUACAUUUCCAGUCAGUGAUGCUUGGCCUGUACGGACUCCUACCGAAGAGAUUCUAUCUCCACUUACAGAGUUCUUGGAUGCUAUCAGAGAUUUUUUCCAGGUUGUACAUCAGUCAGCAUGGAUGCUUCUAUGGAUGGUCUGCCCACCGCUGAGCGUACAACGUUAGUGGCCAUUACCGAUGCUUCCUUCAACAGUACUACAGUCAGCAAUCUCACGCCUCUCACAUAGCAAACAAGGUUGAUGAGAGACACCGUCUUCUUAGAUGCCUGCAGAAGGGAAUACCCUCUCCACUUUGAACAAAAGUUCUUGGACUUAUCGAAAAAAAAUCCAGUAGUUCCCGGCACAGCCACAACAGUCUACCCUCAUCGUGCUACCAUCAGCAGAGGUACAGGGACCAGAAGAGGUCGGCGUGCACCUGCUCCACUUUGCUGCGCGUGCCGGUGGCCAUUAGGAACACAGCGCAGGUUGGUGGGUUGCAUCAAUGUUACAUUGGUUGUACUUGUGACCGGCGGAGCAAUGAAUUCAGGAAGGUUAGAAAGGGGUGAGUUGUUAUCAAGUCAUUUUCUUCUUGUCUCAAGAAUGUUUCAUGUCACUUCUUACAUGUACAUGCAUCAACCCAUGUGGGUGUUAGCUCAUUUUCACGCAUGCCGUCACAAAAAUUACAGCAGCAAUAAAAAACAAAAAAGGUAACAAGUUUGUCAGUUUUUGUUGUCAAUUUAUACCGCUUUCAAAUCCUGGCGCUGUAUAUCUUGGCCACCCAAACAAACAAUAAAAAUACUUGGCAAAGGGCUGCAUUAAGUGUCAAUUUUGGGGGGGUCAGUUUAUUUACAUAUGUAAAUCCCGGCGCUGCAAACAUGUACAUGUAUGAUUUGUGGUUGUCAAAUUUCAAGGUUUUUUGGUCAGUUUCAAAUCAUAACAAUGUCACAAGUCCAGCUUCAUGUUGGCGUGUUUUUACUUCAAGUGUUUAGAGUAAACAGGUAACGUUGCACUUCAAGAAAUACACUUGGCUGUACAGUUUAAAGAGUAUUUCCUCCAAUCAUUGGAUUUUGUUGAUGAGAUCCUUCGUGUAUCUACACAGUCAAUAUUAAGUGUAAAGCUUUACAUUCAAAUUUUCAUUAUGUCAGAGUCAACCGAAACAUCGGUGAGGAACUUGUCACUCAAAUCCUAUUAAUUUGCUAUCAAACUUUUUUUGUACUCAAAAUGGUUUGGGCAGCCGUACCAAUGCACAUUUAUUUAAGAAGUUUUCUCCAAAGAAUUAUAAACGAUUUGUUAGAACAAGUGGAAGCAAAUUACAAUCAUUACAAAUUCGUAAUUAUUCACUUGUUGCCAAUUAUUGAAGUUAUACGUGUUCUUCUCACUCGACUUUUUUUCCCACAAACUGAAUUUUGCAUUGAGUUGGAAAGUCAUCAACAUAUUUCAUUGCAUCUGAUGUAAUUCAAGACCCUUUUGAUUGGACAGCCAGAUGUAUUCCUUGGAAUUUGACGGUGCUUGGUCAAUUUUUAAUACUUGAAGUAAAAAUUUUCCAACAUGACACUUGACUUGUAACAUUGUUUUGAAAUGUGACUUGGAAGAGACCAAAAAAACUUGAUAUUGUACAGUGACAUGAAACUUUCUUGAGACUUGAAGAAAAUGACCAGAU